CUGGAUUUCUUCAUCUUCAAAGCUGCGAAACUUGCAUACUGAACAGGCAAACUGAAUCCUGAAGAAGGAACAUGAAAAGAACAGUGGUGAGGGAGGCGGAGCAGUAGUUACCCAAACUUACCCCCACCAUCUGAAGAACAGGAUACAGCCGUGCAGCUACUUCAGGAAAAUGAUUCACACAAUAACUCUUUAACAUAUCAGUCUCUCUUUAGCCCAAAUUCUCUAAGAGAACACCCUGAAAUGGUGACUUUUUAGAAUUUUGGACUUCCCAAUCUCUACUUGACUGCUCUGGGAACUUCGUAUUUAACUCCACAGCUUCUCAGAUGGGUUUGUCUUUAGCCACCAAGAUGACAUGUGACAAUCUUAUUUUAUGUGAGAGAAAAAUUCUAGUUGCUGUGACACUGCACACCUGUAAUCCUAGUGACUCGGGAGGCUAAGACAAGAGGAUCCAAGUUCCAAGCCAGGUUGAUGGUAGAGCACCCCUACGUUCAAUCAGUAGUACUGAGGGGAAAAAAAAUUUCUGAAGACUUUACAUAAUUCAAAGUUCACAUAACACAAAAUAAUUUCUUCCUUGAGACUUAACAUUCUGGAUUUUAUAAAUAAAAGCUUAAGCUCCUGU
This is a long non-coding RNA of Marmota flaviventris (yellow-bellied marmot), 619 nucleotides long. RefSeq lists it as uncharacterized. NCBI's taxonomy places the organism in Eukaryota, Metazoa, Chordata, Mammalia, Rodentia, Sciuridae. The record is from RefSeq and is a predicted model, not a curated record.